GACGAACGCUGGCGGCGUGCUUAACACAUGCAAGUCGAACGGAAAGGCCUCUUUCGGGGGGUACUCGAGUGGCGAACGGGUGAGUAACACGUGAGUAACCUGCCCUUGACUUUGGGAUAACUUCAGGAGACUGGGGCUAAUACCGGAUAGGAGCUCCUGCUGCAUGGUGGGGGUUGGAAAGUUUCGGCGGUUGGGGAUGGACUCGCGGCUUAUCAGCUUGUUGGUGGGGUAGUGGCUUACCAAGGCUUUGACGGGUAGCCGGCCUGAGAGGGUGACCGGCCACAUUGGGACUGAGAUACGGCCCAGACUCCUACGGGAGGCAGCAGUGGGGAAUAUUGCACAAUGGGUGGAAGCCUGAUGCAGCAACGCCGUGUGCGGGAUGACGGCCUUCGGGUUGUAAACCGCUUUCGCUCAUGACGAAGCUUUGUGUGACGGUAGUGGGUAAAGAAGCACCGGCUAACUACGUG
Molecule: ribosomal RNA, 467 nt
Filed under: uncultured bacterium
Lineage: Bacteria
Description: partial 16S ribosomal RNA
Rfam family: Bacterial small subunit ribosomal RNA
Source: RNAcentral